AGACUAGACAAUGCAAAACAACAAUAUAUUCCUAUGCGCAGUACGAGAAUCUAGCAUCGAUGACGUCACGGAGGAAACAGCUGGGCGAUUGCGUCAUCACUACCUUCAUCUUCCUCUGGGCUCCGCUGGGGAUUUAAACCACGCCGUAAAUCCCUUCUUUGUGACCUGGUAAUGCUGUCUGGACGACAUGGGCACUGAUGAUAUCCAAUGGUGCUCCCACUCAGAUGACGGAACUGCUGAUCUUUGGGGAUAUACACUGCCACAGCCACCUUACUCACCUAUACUGCAGUGCUGACCCAUCUUCAAUAGUCCUGUGGCUGCUGUAUUGAGAGUUACCAGCAGAGAUAACAGGGAAUAAGGAGGUACCCUUUGUCGAGGAGGAGCAAGGAAGAUUACUGAGACUAUUGGGCCCAUACAGCACUCAUGAAUAUCUACCAAGACGGUGUUUGAUGUAAUACCGUGAUGCAAACUCCAGGCACUGAGUGUGUGGUACCAGAACACUGCAAGGAUGACGUCUGGUAGUGAAGACCCCAACAGGAGAAGUACAGGCGUCGGGAUGGCUGGGUGUAAAGACUGUCGAGUGCUGCCGCCUCACCACGGCUGCCACCACUCAAGACACAGCAGCGCCAACACCUGGAAGUGAGAAAGCAUCAUCUAGUGUCAAAGGAUGUGGCCGAGCGUUUGGAUGCCUCUCAACCAGUCAGCGAACGUCCUAUGCCCAGGUAAGUCCUUCUCCCAGACAGUUCCUCAGUAUCCAUGUGUCCGCAGGCCCCGGAUCUGAAAAAUUAACUCUGUAUAACAUUUGCAAAGGUUGAAGAAUUACUAGAAAAUGAAAUGAGCUCAUAUAGUAUUUGCAGACUGAUAAACAUUGACAAGUUCCACAAAUAUUAAUCAGCACUUGCUUGAAAAUUUACAACCCAGUAUAACAUUUGCAAAGUUUGAAAGAAAUUGACAAGUUCCACAAAUAUUAAUUCAGCACUUACUUAAAAAUUUACAACCCAGUAUGACAUUUGCAAAGGUUGAAGAAUUACUAGAAAGCGAAAUGAGCUCGUAUAGUGUUUGCAAAGCUUGAUAAAAAUUGACAAGCUCCACAAAUAUUAAAUCAGCACUUGCUUAAAAAAAUUACUACGCAGACCUAAUAUUCAUAUAUCCACAGAACAUAUUUCUCCUGAUUCCCACUGAAGAUUUUCCCAAUACCACUGUUGUUACCCCACAUGUAUUACUGUCAUGGAAAUAAUAAAGAAAACUCCUCCA
This is a long non-coding RNA of Eriocheir sinensis (Chinese mitten crab), 1254 nucleotides long. RefSeq lists it as uncharacterized. The record is from RefSeq and is a predicted model, not a curated record. The transcript is spliced from 5 exons. NCBI's taxonomy places the organism in Eukaryota, Metazoa, Arthropoda, Malacostraca, Decapoda, Varunidae.